GAGAGACCGCAUGCACACGUCCUGAAAACGCUACUACUCUGCAGCGUUUUGUUUUGUCGCCUUCGCCCAUCGACCAUCGCCGGGUCGGGCUCUCGUUCCCAGCACGCACUAUUGUGCAGGGCCAACAGGUGGCCGACACCUAUCCUGGUACGACCCCACCACUUAAACAACCGGUAUCUUUCUAAUUGCAGUUAGCUUCCAGAAAAUCAGCAAAACCACAUGUUUCCCUCCCGCGUAACAACAGAUUGCCGCCAAAAUCUCUUCGUGGCUUCAUCCAUACUCUCAUACCAAUCUGUUCCAUUGUUAAUUGUUGCCCCUGGAUCAAAGGAAAAUAUAUAGAUCAAGUUUGAUAGGAAAUUGUCCUCUCCGUGGAUCAACAUCUACCGUGUUCUUUAGCAUGGACGGAGCUCCUGCCACUUCAUCGUCCGCUCCUGCCACUUCAUCGUCCGCAGGUAUGUUCUUGCGCCUGGGAUGUACAGAUUGUCAACACUCUUGAUCAUACGAAGGUGAUAAGAUUGAAAGAAACAAACAAAGAAAGAGUUGAAUCUAUGACAUGCAAAUUACUCCCAGUACUUCAUCUUCCGUAGCCCUGUUUCUUUCAAACACAUGCAAAUUAAUCCUUCAGAAUUGCAUUAUAAUUAUGUUAGUGAUGAUUACUCCUAUGAUGUUGCGCACAUUAUGCAUCAGAGUACCACCUAAGUUUAUUAUAAAUUUUACUGCCUGAGAUUCUCCUUUGACAUAUUCUCUUUUUUGCUAACUCUAAUGAUAGAGAUUACUAUAUCAAAGAAAAAGAUCAAUAUUUUGCUAAUGCUCCCGUGAAUACCAUGUGUUGUUUUCAAAAAAAAAUAGCUCUAUCUUUAAGCGCUUUUCAGGUUUCACUAAAACCAGGACUGUGAAUAUCGUGUGAACUUUUACUCCAUGUGUCGUCCGUGAACUAAUUAGUAUAUGAUAUUUUUUUAUGUUGUGUAGAUCAUGACACCAAAAAUGUGGGAGAGGCAGGUCGAAACACAGAUGAUGAUUACAGCAAAAGGUUAAAACCAGAGAUAGGAAUGGAAUUUGAGGAUGAAGAGAUAGCAUAUGAGUUUUAUAAUGCAUAUGCAGGUCAUACUGGUUUCAGUGUCAGGAAAUUUUGGCAUGAUAAAUCCUCAACGAAUGUUAUUCGAACAAAAUUUGUAUGCUCAAAGGCAGGUUUCAAGGACAAGAGCAAGGAACAAUGCCAGCGGAAGCGAGCAGAUACAAGAGUUGGGUGUCCGGUAGAGAUGACCAUCAAAAUAAGUGCUAAUGGAAAAUAUGUUGUAAGCAACUUUGAGGAUGCUCAUAAUCAUGAACUCGUAACUCCAAGCAAAGCCCAUCUACUGCGAUCUCAAAGAAGAAUUACAGAAGCUCAGAAGGCCCAGAUUGACAUAUUGAAUGAUUCUGGUAUUAGACCAAAAUCUGGUCAUGAAGUGAUGAGUAGACAAGCAGGGGGUAGGCGAUGUCUUAGCUUUGGUCAAAAGGAUUAUAAAAAUUAUCUCCGAUCAAAGCGUAUGCAGUCAAUCCAAGAAGGAGAUACAGGUGCCAUUCUUCAAUACCUACAGGACAAGCAGAUGGAAAAUCCUUCCUUUUUUUAUGCUAUACAAGUAGAUGAAGAUGAGAUGAUAACCAAUAUAUUCUGGGCAGAUGCAAGAUCAAUAUUAGAUUAUCACUACUUUGGUGAUGUGGUAUGCUUUGACACAACCUUUAAGACAAAUAGUUAUGGCAGACCAUUUGCCCCUUUUGUUGGUGUCAACCAUCAUAAACAAACAGUGGUUUUUGGAGCUGCAUUAUUGUAUGAUGAAACAUCUGAGACGUUUGAAUGGUUGUUUGAAACAUUCAAAAGGGCCAUGUCAGGAAAAGAACCGAAGACAAUAUUGACCGAUCAAUGUGCUGCCAUUAUUAGUGCCAUUGGCAAGGUUUUUACUAACUCAAUACAUCGUCUAUGUGUGUGCCACAUGUAUCAGAACGCUGCAAAACAUUUGAGUCAUGUUUUUCAAGGUUCCAAGACAUUUAAGAAAGAUUUUGGCAAGUGUGUUUAUGAUUUUGAAGAAGUUGAUGAAUUCAUAGCAGGUUGGAAUGAUAUGCUAGUGAAAUAUAAUUUGGAAGAUAAUGACUGGCUACAUAGAUUAUUCCAGAACAAGGAGAAGUGGGCUUUGGUUUAUGGUCGACAAACCUUUUGUGCAGAUAUGAUAUCCACACAAAGAAGCGAGAGUAUGAAUGCACUAUUGAAACGAUACCUGCAUGUUCGCCUUGAUUUAUUAGAUUUCUUCAAGCACUAUGAGAGGGCCGUGGAUGAUAGAAGGUAUGCUGAAGUGGAAAGUGAUUUCUAUGCGAGUCAAACAUCACCAAAGGUGCCAUAUGUGCAGAUGCUUAUACAAACAUCGAAAGUAUAUACACCUGCUAUGUUUGAGAUAUUUAAAGGAGAAUUUGACAUGGUAAUGGGAUAUUGUGUGUACGAGAGUGGUCGUACUGGCUCUAUUUCUUAUAACAUUUUGAGCAAAGCAGCAGCAAACAAAGAGGCAUAUGCACUACUGCAAAGUAUGUCAAUUGAACUAAUGGAAAAGGUGGACCAAAUUUUACAUGGAAAUCAAUCAAAAGAUAUAUCACCAAAUCAUGAACAAGCAGAGAAGCAACCAGUUGAAUGCAACAUUGAGAAUGUAGUCACAGAGAAGCAACCAGUUGAGUGCAACCUUGAGAAUGUAGUCACGGUACAGGGAAUAAAGAGAAAAGAACAAGGAAAUAGCAACAAGAGGAUUAAUUCUGGACUGGAGCUGAACAAUAAGAAUAAAUGUAAUAAAAAAGGUAUGGUAUUCCUCAAGAAAUAGCUAAAUAAAUAUCUGGUCAUGUUAUUGAAAUAGAUCUGACAAAUUGUUUUGCAAAUAGGUCAAGGAACAACAUGCAAGAAUAAGAGUGGUGAUUGUGCUUCUGCAUCAUCUGGACCAAAUCCUAGCUUCAGCAUAUCAGAUGAGAACUAUAAUUUGCAAGUAUUACAGCAUGCUAUGCCUCCACUACCAAAUGCUGCUAAUUACAAUUUGCAAGUAUUGCAGCAUGCUAUGCCUCCACUACCAAAUGUUGCGAAUUACAAUCUGCAAGUAUUGCCGCCCGCUAUGCCUUCGGCACCACAAGCUGUUUCCUCAUUACCACAUGCACAUAAUUAUAAUUUGCAUGUACUGCCGGGUACUAUGACAUCGGUACCACGACCUGAGAACUAUAAUUUGCAAGUAUUACAGCAUGGCUUGCCUCCGCUAUCGCCGGCAAGCACUACUAGUUUUCAACAGUUACUUGGCUUGCGACCACAACAACCAUAUGUCUAUCAUAGCAUUCAACCGAGUCAGGUAUGUUUAUUUAGUUAUUUUUUAAAAUUAAGACGAGCAUGCACGGGUCAUUUACUUUUUGAUUAACACUACAUGUAGACUUAUGUGGUGUCAUCGGACUCCGGAUGGCCAACAUCUCAUAAUCACCAGCCGCCAACUAGCACUCAACCAAGUCAGGUAGAAUUUUAUUAGUUAAUCGCUAGAAAUUAAAAUGAACAUGCACAUGUCAUUUGCUUGUAUUGACUUUUGAAUCAACAUUGUAUGUAGAGUUCCCAAAUGCUAUCAGACUCGGGAUGGCCAACAUCUCAAAAAUGACCAGCUGCCAAUUCAGGUAUUGUUCACUUGCAAGUCAUAUUCCCAAUUGAAGUUUAUAUCUCCUAAGAAAUCAUUUCUUUGUUCUUUCAGGUCUUGGGUAGCCAAUGAAGUCACAUACAAGAUAAACACUUUUAAAUAGCUCUAUGUAAACUUUGUAUCCAGGAUUGCUCUACAAGACAGUUCCCUUGAGAUGUAAUAAUUUAUCUUACUGUUCCUUUUGAUGUUAGAUGCGCAAUGGUUUUAUGCUCAAAUAAAAAUAUAUACAUGAAUAUGGAUUAGUUGUUGGUUAUUCCUUUUGAUAAGUUAGAUGCGUAACUGAGGUUUGGUUUUCUAGUUAAAUGUGGUCUUAUAGGCACUAAAUUCAUUAAAAGGUGCUUUCACCAAUUUGUGAUUUCCCCUGUACUGUAUGACUAAAGAGCAGAGGAGAGUAGAUAGCUUGCAUACUUCAGAGUUCAGUACAUAGCUACUAGUAGUACAGAGCUACUCCCUCCGUCCCAUAAUAUAAGAGCGUUUUUGACAUUACACUAGUGUAAAAAACACUCUUAUAUUAUGGGACUGAGGGAGUAGUACAUUGCUACCAGUAAAGAGCUCGCAUACGUAUAUAGCUGAAAGCUAAUUAGGUACUAGCACAAAGGUAGAUGAAGCAGUGAAUCAUCUCUCACCUUUGCCUGUUGAGCUUGCAUCGAGUUCGCAUCUUCCACUGUGAUCAUCCAACCUCCCGCGGAAUCUCGGCCACCGGCUGCACGCGCUGCAGUUCCACCAUGCCACCAUCUUACAGGGAGCGGGUCAGCCACAACCUUUGGCUGGCCUUGAGUGUGCCGGAGCCGGACGACAACAGCCGCGA
Molecule: long non-coding RNA, 4488 nt
Filed under: Triticum aestivum (bread wheat)
Lineage: Eukaryota; Viridiplantae; Streptophyta; Magnoliopsida; Poales; Poaceae
Description: long non-coding RNA (TAES_LNC009505)
Rfam family: MIR1120/MIR1122 microRNA precursor family (bases 4125-4211)
Source: RNAcentral